This 423-nucleotide ribosomal RNA is filed under the name uncultured bacterium. Its description in RNAcentral is "partial 16S ribosomal RNA". It matches the Rfam family "Bacterial small subunit ribosomal RNA", at positions 361 to 776 of the family's 1533-position model. The record is from RNAcentral.
AUAUUGGACAAUGGGCGCAAGCCUGAUUCAGCCAUGCCGCGUGAGUGAAGAAGGCCUUCGGGUUGUAAAGCUCUUUCGGACGGAAAGAAAUCGCGCGGGCUAAUACCCUGCGCGGAUGACGUUACCGUCAUAUGAAGCCCCGCCUACCCGCGUGCCAGCAGCCGCGGUAAUACGUAGGGGGCGAGCGUUAAUCGGAAUUACUGGGGGUAAAGCGGGCGCAGGCGGUUGAUUAAGACAGGCGUGAAAAACCCGGGCGUAACCUGGGAACUGCGCUUGUGACUAGUCAGCUAGAGUACGGCAGAGGGGGGUGGAAUUCCACGUGUAGCAGUGAAAUGCGUAGAGAUGUGGAGGAACACCGAUGGCGAAGGCAGCCCCCUGGGCCGAUACUGACGCUCAUGCACGAAAGCGUGGGUAGCAAACAGG